GAUGAAAUGACAGAAUGGGAUGUUGUAAAUUGUAAAUUUAUAAAUGUAGGUUCAAAUCCUUCUUUCGUUA
Molecule: transfer RNA, 70 nt
Filed under: Crossaster papposus
Lineage: Eukaryota; Metazoa; Echinodermata; Asteroidea; Velatida; Solasteridae
Description: tRNA-Tyr
Rfam family: tRNA
About the family: Transfer RNA (tRNA) molecules are approximately 80 nucleotides in length. Their secondary structure includes four short double-helical elements and three loops (D, anti-codon, and T loops).
Source: RNAcentral